This 1343-nucleotide long non-coding RNA is filed under the name Mustela putorius furo (domestic ferret). Its description in RNAcentral is "lncRNA (ENSMPUG00000029193.1)". Lineage: Eukaryota; Metazoa; Chordata; Mammalia; Carnivora; Mustelidae. The record is from RNAcentral.
UGCCGGCAACAUAUUUUAGGCUUUGGAGAUUCAAAAAUAAGAAGGGGAAGAGAACAUAUAUUUGUUGAAGGUUUCUAAUGUGCCAGACACUGGAUUGAGUUCUUUGCAUAACUUAAUCCAUUUAACUUUCACCAUAAUUGCAUGAGAUCUUAUGGUCCCAGUUUACAAAUAAGGACACUGAGACUCACAGAAGAUUAGGAACUGGGUCAAGGUCAUACAUCCCUGGGAAUUUCAAGCCAGAUCUGACUCCAAAGCAUUUAUCAUUAUUCAAAUAGAUUUAAAGUUUUUUGGUGACAGUACAGGAGCCUGCAGUCUGGGAGGAGGAGCUGAGCACCCACAUACCCAAAGUCUUCUGGCCCAGGCAGUCCCUGACCGGCGGCAUCAGAAUGGCAUGACAGAAGGCCGUGGAGACGCAGAGAUGCAGCUCCUGGCCACCACAGCCAGGGAGCGAGAUCUGAUGUGGACUCGAGGUGGAACACCCACUGCUUCCGUGACCGGCAUUUUUCUACCUACAGACCUCAAGGAGAGCAACCAGCAACCAGGAGACCAACCAGUGUCCAUCGAGGACAGGCAAGAACUGGUCUGGGAAGAGAGUUAAGCCCGCCUAAGGUUGCUGUUUCUUGCUGGGAGGUCCAGGCUUGCCCACAACCACCACGGAGAACAGGAGGGUUCACACGCCACCUCUCUGAGCAGUUCCCAGAGCAUCUAGAUACAGACGUCCAGUUUGCAGACUGCAUGCAGAAGCUGACCAAGAGACUAAGGGGGUGCUGCAACUCAGCUCCUGCUCUGUUCGCAAGUCGUGUGUCUUGGCGUGGGCUGCUUCUGCAGAAGGAUGUGCCGUCUUUCUCUUUGUACAGAGGUGCCGCCUGAGAGUCUCUGGUGCAUCUACUCAAUUGGUCUGCCUGCCGGGGGUGCUGUUUUCCAUUCAUACAAUGACCCCAUGCGGGCUGGAGAGGACCCUGGCUGUGCACCCUAACGAGUCAGAGGACAGACUCCUUUGCUGCUCAGCGACUUGACCCUUACUUCCAGCUCCCAGGUUUCCUCCACAGAGUUCAUGGCUGCCCUCUAUGGCAGGCUCACAGUGCUCCCUCCAUCCGGCCCAUAUUCUCCCAUGACUCUGUGCUGUUCAUUCCCCUUCCCUCCCUCUGUCUGAUCCAAGGCAAGGUCAUCCAGAGCCAACUCCCAACAUUCCAGAUUGAACCCAAUUUGUUUUCCCUUUGGCCUCUGUUCCUGGGUUCCCUUCCUGGUCGCCUCCUAAGACCCCUGCCUCUCUGCCUAUACUCGCUUGUUGCCCAGCCCACAGACUGGAGAAUUCUCCUAAAUUCCAGAGCUCAGUUGCAGAU